RNAcentral lists this long non-coding RNA (318 nucleotides) under Bos mutus (wild yak). RNAcentral's name for it is "lncRNA (ENSBMUG00000016809.1)". The record is from RNAcentral. Lineage: Eukaryota; Metazoa; Chordata; Mammalia; Artiodactyla; Bovidae.
UAGCUUCUAUAAUUACAACUUCUGUUGCAUAAAAUUUUCUGCAGCUCUGUUCGAAUGCCAAAGGACAUCUCUUACUUUAGAAGAGAAAGGGAACUUGCCCUAAAGAAAACUUUACAGGUGGCUGAGUCAAAGUCCCUUGUUAUUCAAUCAGAUGUCAUGCAGAGGGAGCUAGAGAGCUGCCUAAGGAGAGAGUACACUCCUGAAAAUUUACCUUUGCUUCUGUUGCAGCAUUAUACAGAGAGAAUUACCCAGCUGGCCCAGAGUAAAUAUUUACACAUGCUUAGGUGGAAGAGAUUUUGCCAUCACAGUAAGAUCAUG